This 2827-nucleotide long non-coding RNA is filed under the name Sus scrofa (pig). Its description in RNAcentral is "lncRNA (ENSSSCG00055011195.1)". Lineage: Eukaryota; Metazoa; Chordata; Mammalia; Artiodactyla; Suidae. The record is from RNAcentral.
GGGCCACACCUGCCUCACAUGGAGGUUCCCAGACGAGGGGUCUAAUUGGAGCUACAGCUGCUGGCCUACAUACACCACAGCCACAGCAACAGCAACGUGAGAUCCGAGCCAUGUCUGCGACCUACACCACAGCUCAGGGCAAGGCUGGAUCCUUAGCUCAGGACAAGGCUGGAUCCUUAGCCCAGUGAGCGAGGCCAGGGAUCAAACCCACAACCUCAUGGUUCCUAGUAGGAAUCAUUUCUGCUGCACCACAAUGGGAACUCCUCAGAUACUUUCAAUGAAAGCUCAUAAUAAACCCCCAAACUUCUUAUUGAGGAUUAAACGAGAUGAUUUGGGGGAAGUGCUUUAACAGAAUUUGGCUCACUAAAUAAUAGUUAAUAUUAUUUUAAUAUUAUAAUAAUGGGACUAUUUUAAAGUAAUUUUAAAGUUUGAUGGGGGCUCUGCACAUAUGAAGUUUUAUUGCUCUUAUUUAAUCAUCAAGACAACAUCUUAUCAGCUCCAUCAUGAGAGAUAAGGUCAGUCCUUAGAGCUUUGGGUUUAGUAGGGUACAGAACUUCACAUCUGUGAUUUCACCUAAAUGUGUAGUUCUGACCCCCAAACCAAGAAGGUAAAAUAGAGUUCCAAGUAAAACUCACUACAGUGAUAAAUGAGCUUCGGAGUCAGAAGAAAUUAAGUAAUAAUCUUUGGAAUCUAUAGUGCUGUACAGAGAGGCAAAGAGUUUCUGGACUUCCACGUCACUACCCUGCCCUACCCUGUCUUAAGUGUUGUCCUAAAGAACAGCAAGGACUCAAAAGACCAAAAACUGCAAAUUAAGACAUUAAUCGAGGCCUCAUCUUUGUUAAUGCAAGCCAUAUUUUCCCAAUGGGGAAAAUGCUAAUGAAACAAAGUGCUCUUCAGGAGCAAACUCUAAACAAUACUUUGUAUUAUUCUCUAUUACUUAAUAAGAUUUUGCAUCUAACUUGCAGCCUCUAGACUUUAAUGACAGUAUAUAGCUAGUUGACAUACAAGUCAGUACUAAUGGAGAAAAGGCAAUUUCCCAUCAAACAAUAUGUUUCUUCAGUGGUAAAGAUCAAUAUAAAUAAUUUUAAAAAAUGGUAAAGGUCAACAUACUGAAAGAGAGCUAUACAUAUCUAGGCUUUCAACAACAGACAGGAAUAAAUCAUUCAACAAUCAAAAAAAAUCUGAAGAUAGCACUCUUCACUCUCAGAGAAAAUAUUUAGAUCAUAUCUCAAAACAGAUAGUAGACUACUAGAACUACUCCUAAAGUGAUCAUUUGGUAUUAUAAAAAGAUCAUUUUUGUAUAAUAAAACUUGGAAAGAAAAAUUAAAAAAUGAAGAAAAAUUAUAAAGUAACAAUUCAGUACUUUAUGAUUCUUAUCAAUAUCGUCUUGGUCAAGAUUUUGUAUUUGGUUAACACUGGCUACCUAUGGGGAGGCAAGCAAAAUAGGGAGCUGAACAGGAACAUUUACUUUUAUUCUAUAUAUCAUGUAUCAUUUGAAUCUGGGGCAUGAAUCUAUAUUCAUAUAUUAUUUUUUAAAUGCUUUAAGGUUAGGAAAUAUUCUAUAGUUAAAAUGAAGAACUGUGCCAAUUUAAGACUUAGAGUCUAAGUGGUAAAUCUUGAACCUAAAAUGAGAAUUUUUCUAAAAUAUGAUAUAUAUAUUAUAUAUGUGGACAACUUAUAUAAACAAAGGUUCACAGGGAUAUACAAGUUACUAAAUCAUGAUUAUGUCUGGAGAGUAGGAUUAUGGAUACCUUUCUUCUUUCCUCAUUUGUAUUCUAUAAUUUUCUAUAAUAAGCAUGGAUUGAUUUGUGAUAAGAAAAAUAUUACUAAGAAAAAGGUAGGAUAAACACAUUUUCAUAUAUUCACAUAAUGUAAUAUUAACCACCAAUAAAAAAGAAUGAAUUCUGAUAUCCACAACAUGAAUGAAUCUCAAGUGUCUUAUGUGAAACAAGCCAUUUCAAUACAUCCUGUGUGAUUUUUAUUUGUCUAACAGUUUAAAGUCUAACAAUUUCUAUAAUGAUAGAAAUUCCAAAAGUGGUUAUGGGGGGUGAAAUAAGGUGAGAAUUGGUUACAAGAGGGCACAAAGGAACUUUCUGGACUGAUUAAAAUGUUCUAUUGUUUUGGGUGAUAGUUACAUGGAUGUGUACAAUUUUUUUUUUUUGUCUUUUUUUGUCUUUUUGCUAUUUCUUUGGGCCGCUCCCGCAGCAUAUGGAGGUUCCCAGACUAGGGAAAAAAAAAAAAAAAAAAAAAAAAAAGAUGUGAUACACACACACACACACAUACAUUACUCAGCAUUAAAAAAAAAGACAAAAUAAUGCCAUUUGCAGAAACAUGGAUGCAACUAGAGAUUAUCACCAUACUGAGUGAAGUAAGUCAGAAAGAGAAAGACAAAUGCCACAUGUCACUUAUAAGUGGAAUUUAAAAUAUGGCACAAAUGAACCUAUCUACAAAACAGAAACAGACUCACAGACAUAGAGAACAGACUUGUUGCCAAGGGGGAGGGGGAGGAAGAGGGAUGGACUGGGAGUUUGGGGUUAGUGAAUACAAACUAUUACAUUUAGAAAGGAUAAACAGAAUUCCCAUGGUGGUGCAGUGGCUUAAGAAUCUGACUGCAGCAGCUUGGGUUGCUAUGGAGGCUCAGGUUCAAUCCUCGGCCUGAUGCAGUGGGAUAAAGGAUCCAGCACUGCCACAGCUGAGCCACAGGUCACAGCUGCAGCACAGAUUCAGUCCCUGGCCCGGGAACUUCCAUAUGCUGUGGAUAUGGCCAUUAAAAAUAUACAUAUAUAGGAGUUCCGGUCAUGGCUCAGCAAUUAAACCCUGCUGGUAU